CAAUUGAAGAGUUUGAUCCUGGCUCAGCCUGAACGCUGGCGGCAUGGUUAAAGCAUGCAAGUCGCGGGAGAAACCCUUCGGGGUGGACACCGGCGAAAGGGUGAGUAAUGCAUUCGAAUGUACCCCGAGGUGAGGGAUAGCUGGGGGAAACUCCAGGUAAUACCUCAUACGCUCUAUGGAGGAAAGCUUCGGCGCCUCGGGAGCAGCGAAUGUCCUAUCAGGUAGUUGGUGAGGUAAUGGCUCACCAAGCCGAAGACGGGUAGCGGGUGUGAGAGCACGACCCGCCACAUCGGGACUGAGACACUGCCCGGACUCCUACGGGAGGCUGCAGCGACGAAUCUUCCGCAAUGCACGAAAGUGUGACGGAGCAAUGCCGCGUGUGGGAUGAAUCGGCUUCGCCGUGUAAACCACUGUCAGGGUCUAGGAAGAACUGACCAGACCCAAAG
Molecule: ribosomal RNA, 446 nt
Filed under: Phycisphaerales bacterium
Lineage: Bacteria; Pseudomonadati; Planctomycetota; Phycisphaerae; Phycisphaerales
Description: bacterial SSU rRNA
Rfam family: Bacterial small subunit ribosomal RNA
Source: RNAcentral